CCCCUGUCCUGGGGCUUACAGGUUUCUGGGGUGAGAAAAACUUGCUCUUCGAUUCAGCGGCGGACGGGUGAGUAAUGCCUAGGAAUCUGCCUGGUAGUGGGGGACAACGUUUCGAAAGGAACGCUAAUACCGCAUACGUCCUACGGGAGAAAGCAGGGGACCUUCGGGCCUUGCGCUAUCAGAUGAGCCUAGGUCGGAUUAGCUAGUUGGUGGGGUAAUGGCUCACCAAGGCGACGACCCGUAACUGGUCUGAGAGGAUGAUCAGUCACACUGGAACUGAGACACGGUCCAGACUCCUACGGGAGGCAGCAGUGGGGAAUAUUGGACAAUGGGCGAAAGCCUGAUCCAGCCAUGCCGCGUGUGUGAAGAAGGUCUUCGGAUUGUAAAGCACUUUAAGUUGGGAGGAAGGGCAGUAAGCGAAUACCUUGCUGUUUUGACGUUACCGACAGAAUAAGCACCGGCUAACUCUGUGCCAGCAGCCGCGGUAAUACAGAGGGUGCAAGCGUUAAUCGGAAUUACUGGGCGUAAAGCGCGCGUAGGUGGUUUGUUAAGUUGGAUGUGAAAGCCCCGGGCUCAACCUGGGAACUGCAUCCAAAAGCUGGCAAGCUAGAGUACAGUAGAGGGUGGUGGAAUUUCCUGUGUAGCGGUGAAAUGCGUAGAUAUAGGAAGGAACACCAGUGGCGAAGGCGACCACCUGGACUGAUACUGACACUGAAGGUGCGAAAGCGUGGGGAGCAAACAGGAUUAGAUACCCUGGUAGUCCACGCCGUAAACGAUGAGUGCUAAGUGUUAAGGGGUUUCCGUCCCUUAGUGCUGCAGCUAACGCAUUAGCACUCCGCCUGGGGAAGU
RNAcentral lists this ribosomal RNA (849 nucleotides) under uncultured bacterium. RNAcentral's name for it is "bacterial SSU rRNA". It matches the Rfam family "Bacterial small subunit ribosomal RNA", at positions 54 to 882 of the family's 1533-position model. The record is from RNAcentral.